This 208-nucleotide long non-coding RNA is filed under the name Mytilus galloprovincialis (Mediterranean mussel). Lineage: Eukaryota; Metazoa; Mollusca; Bivalvia; Mytilida; Mytilidae. The record is from RNAcentral.
GUUGGUUUUAAUCUGAUUUUUUCUGGACAAAAAAAUGAUAGAAAAUAUACAAAUAUCGAAUUGAAAGGAAGGGAAAGUUCAUGUUCAUAUGUUUGUGUAUUGUUAACAAAUACUUAUAUUUGAAGCAUCUUUAACUAAGCUGACUCUCCUAAUUCGUUGAGAAUAGCAUUGACAACUCUUAUUGAUAUACAGAGGGCUUCCCCAUGUU